GCUUACGGCCAUAUCAGCCUGGGUACGCCCGAUCUCGUCUGAUCUCGGAAGCUAAGCAGGGUCGGCCUGGUUAGUACUUGGCUGGGAGACCGCCUGGGAAUACCAGGUGCUGUAAGCA
This 118-nucleotide ribosomal RNA is filed under the name Salmo salar (Atlantic salmon). The record is from RNAcentral. Lineage: Eukaryota; Metazoa; Chordata; Actinopteri; Salmoniformes; Salmonidae.